AGCUCUCCGAGUGGUGUGGAUGUUUAUUGGGCCUAAAGCAUCCGUAGCUGGCUGAGUUAGUCCCUUGUUAAAUCCACCGAAUUAAUCGUUGGAUUGCGGGGAUACUGCUCGGCUAGGGGACGAGAGAGGCAGACGGUAUUUCCGGGGUAGGGGUGAAAUCCUAUAAUCCCGGGAAGACCACCAGUGGCGAAGGCUGUCUGCUAGAACGCGCCCGACGGUGAGGGAUGAAAGCUGGGGGAGCGAACC
RNAcentral lists this ribosomal RNA (246 nucleotides) under uncultured crenarchaeote. Its description in RNAcentral is "partial 16S ribosomal RNA". It matches the Rfam family "Archaeal small subunit ribosomal RNA", at positions 478 to 725 of the family's 1478-position model. Lineage: Archaea; Thermoproteati; Thermoproteota. The record is from RNAcentral.